Molecule: unclassified non-coding RNA, 354 nt
Filed under: soil metagenome
Description: partial contains 5.8S ribosomal RNA, internal transcribed spacer 2, and large subunit ribosomal RNA
Rfam family: 5.8S ribosomal RNA (bases 1-119)
Source: RNAcentral
GAUGAAGAACGCAGCGAAAUGCGAUAAGUAGUGUGAAUUGCAGAAUCCGUGAGUCAUCGAAUCUUUGAACGCACAUUGCGCCCUUUGGUAUUCCGAAGGGCAUGCCUGUUCGAGCGUCAUUAUCACCACUCAAGCCCGGCUUGCUGUUGGUGGCAGCGCAGCCGGUCAACCGGCUACGCUCCACCCAAAGAUAAUGACGGCGUCUGCGAGGACUCCUGUACAUUGAGCUUUCGGGCACGUACAUGGCUAGAAGUCCAGGCGCCGGUCGACGUCCUCCGGGACACUUUUUACCAAGGUUGACCUCGGAUCAGGUAGGGAUACCCGCUGAACUUAAGCAUAUCAAUAAGCGGAGGA